AAGCAAGCACACCAAGAUCUGUAUCCACAGAGAGUAAUGAUGAAUAUCAAGAUCUUGUAUUUAAGUGAAGCAUUUCUUUUAUCAAAGCCUGAAUUGUGAGUUAGAGAGAUAGAUAGACAAUAUAUUUUUAACUAUAAAAUAUAAAACAUAUACGUAUGUAUAACUGGGGUGCAGAGUAAGAAGAAAAAAAUACAAGAAACACUGAUAAAUGUAAUUCUCUAGGACAAUAUUGUGAACUUUACAACUGAAAUAUAUGGGGAUAUAUUAAUAAAGUUCUUAGUACUUCUAAAUUGAGCAAAGAAAAUAUCCAUCCAAUUUACAGACAUAUGUAUCACAUGUACUCAACUCAAUGGAUGGAGACCUUACAAAGUGACCAGAUACUCAAGGGAGAUGUCAUUAAAAAAAAAAAAAGUUGAUGGAGAACAAGGUGUUCAUAUAUAGUUGCCUUACUGAGAAUGUGGGUCACAGUCUAGAGAGAUUUCAAAGGUAAUGUGAUAAUACUGCAUAUCUACCCAAGGGCAACCAGUGGAAAUGUUCUGACUCAAAAAUAACUCAGUGUUUGAGAAUUCUGAGAGGACAUUCACUACAUCUCCAUCCAGAGAAAUUGGGAAGGAGGCAUGAGUUAGUCUGUUUCAAGAUUUCAACAGAUUAAACUUAGGAUGUUAUGAAUUUAUUGUUGAAAAUCUUAAAUCUCAUCACUAAUUGAAUUUCACGAAAAUGAAGAACUUCAGGGAAAGCUGAUAUUUAUCUGUUAGGCAGAAAUCUGUUAAGCUCAAUUAAACAUGAUUUUAAGAAGAUGUUCUUGCCAUCUCUGUGUAUAGACCAAGGCUAUAAAACUCAAUUACAUGUUAAGUAAUAAUGCUAUCACUUUCUGGUGAUCAGAAAUGAUCAUGAUGACAUUCAAAAAUGGCAUAUUGGAUAUCUGCCACUUCAACAAUCCUAUAACAGCAUAACAGCAAGCUCUGCAUAGCUGAAGAUUUCCUAACCUCCUCUCUUGCUUUUACCCAAUAAUGGAUAAAUAAAGUUUCACACAAAUAAAGGAACUUGGAAACUCCCUUCGCCUUUUAUGACAGAAUCUGACCUAAGCAUUCAUUUGUGAACUCAAGAAGUGAAGUGGAAAUGACAAAAUUAUUCUAGUUAUUACUCCUUGGAAAUCAUAUAAGGUCAUUCUGUAAUAUGAACCUAUAUGGUGUGGGAAAUGAAGAAUAAAAGAAUUUUUUUUUUUCAGAAAACAACCCGUAGUGUGAACUGUGUUAAAGGAAACUAUACAAGACACAAAAGAAAAAAGGAAAAAAAAAUCUGAUUCAGAAAGGAAAAUAUUGCUAAUAUGGGUAGGAAGGUGACAAAGAGAAAAGGCAAUAAUGUAAAUCAUAUUUUUUUGGUAGUACUUCACUUAGAUGAUGAGGUAGAGGUUCAAAUGUGGAACCUGAGAUUUCUUUCUGGCAGUUAAUAUGCCAAUCAUGCAGACCACCCCUCUAAAACAGAACCACAUUAUGAUUUAUAACUUGUGGGUAAAGAGAAUAGAUUACCUCCCUUAGCCUGUUAGAAGAGCCAAGACAAGCCAUGCAAAGGAGAAGCAAGUCUCCAGGAAAAGGAGUUGGAAGAAGCUAUCUACCACAGACUGUCACUUUGGGCCACUGGAAAUACACAUACAUGCCCAGGAUGUGCGUAGAAGCUCUGGGGAAGUUGGAGAGAUUAACCCUGAGAACUGCUGACCAGAGAAGAUUUCAAAGGCAAGGAGCAGUGAGAGAGAGCCACAAACCAAUCAGAGUGAAAAGAGAUGUGUGAACAGAGGAACAGGGGCAUAUAAAGACUAAGAGUUUGGGGCUUCUGUCUCUACAGUCUGUUCUAGCAGAUUUCCAUCAAUCUGGGAAGGUAUUUACAACUCCAAGAGGACAAGAGGGGUCAGCGGCAUUCGGCAGCUUCUCUGGUGACCAGCUACGUCAUUUGGCAGCAGGCUAAACUGCUUGCAAUUGCAUAGAGCAAAGAGCAUGCUGAACAGUGAUGUUCCAGUUUAAAAGGACAGAGCUGCAAACAAAGGGCCUUCCAUAAUCUCAAACUUCUCAGCUGUAGAAGCAAUAGCAGCAGAAGGAAUUAUUGAACGUGGCAUCUACAUAUGAUGAGAGAAUAAAAAGGGAAAAAGAAAACCCAACAGUUUGCAAUCUCGGGGUGAGUAAAUAGAAACCUGGUAAGGAAAAGGGAACAGAAAAGACGUGAAAACCAAUGCAAAUGAAUAUAAAGCAUGUAUUCCUAGCUAUAUGGAAACAUAGAAAUAACUUUAAAAGGGUAUCUCAUUUGAACAAAUGCCUGGCGCCUCCUUGACCAUCUCCCGUAGUAGGGCAUUCCAUGUCUUUUUAAGCAUCUCACUCCAUGUCUAGGGACUAGCUGGUAAUAGGAGAAAAAAAUAGUUUCUUUAUUCUAACCCUAGUUGGGAUCCUGGCUCCAUCACUUAACAGUUUUGAACUUUGGAGGUAAAAUAAAAACAAUGUAUCAAUGGACAUCAUAAUAGUACCAAUUUCAUGGCGUUGUCGUAGGGAUUAAAUGAGAUCAUACAUAUAAUUCUAUAACACCAUGCUUGGUUCAUAACUAACACAAAUUGAACUAAUUAAGUAUUCAAUUGGCUUUAUUAUGAUUAUUGAGCAGGACUGUCUGCAUUCUAAUCCUGGCUCCAACAUCCUAAUCUGGAACAAGUGACUUUAUUUCUCAGUACUUUAUUGCCUACUCUAUCAAAUGGGGAUUCUAGUAGGGUCUGUCUCAUGAGGUUGAUGAGAGAAUUAGACAAGCUGAUAAAGGUAAAGCUCUUAGAAUAGAGCCUUGCAUUUAGUGGGGGUCCAUUCAAUGUUAGUCAUUGUUGAUGAAAGGCUUCUUCCUGACCAAUUGCUCCUUUUAUCACUCUUCUUGCUCAAUGAGUGCUCCUCCCAAGCAGUGCCCCGUGCCCUUUCUAGCUCUCUCUCUCUUUUGGAGGAUGUAAUUGAAGCCAAGAUAGUGGGUUUAAUCUUCCAGGGGCCAUGAAGGAUCCCUUUGCUCAUGUGAGAGUAGAUGAGAUUAAAUCUAUUUCCAGGGUCAGCUAGAGGAACAAGCCACAGAGGUGGCCCAAGGGAAAGGUAGGUCAGUAGAUUCAGUGUGGAAUAGAAAGAACAUGAAGUACUCUGAGACGUGGAAGCCCGGCAUAGGGAUGAGACAAUGUGGUUUGUUUGGGAGCCUGGCAACGUGGCAGAUAGUGCAAAUGGCUCUGACCUGGGGAGCUUACUGUGCCAGGAGCCGCUUGCCUUUCAUAAGCGUGAAAUCCACUUAGGUAACCUUUGGUACAUACCCUUCUGAAUCCACAGCUUGUUCUUUACAAGUUUUUGGCAAAAAGUAGUGUUCACUGGUCACACCCAUUCUAUUCUAUAUUUAUUCUCAGUGUGCAAGACUAAUGAGAUAAUCAUGCCCCAGGGCUUAACUGGUUGAAAUCUGUAAAUCUCCUAAAAGUGUAAUUACCUAUUCAUAAUCCUUCUUUCCCAUAUUGCGUAAAUCUCAUUAGUACAUUUUUUUAUUAUUCAUGUUAUGGAAAAAAUUGCUUUUUUGCCAUUGAAAGAACAGUUGGCAGAGAGAGAGAACCAGGUGUUUUGUUUGAGCUGUUUGGUUUAAUCUCUGUGAUCAAAUUAACCCAUUUAUGCUGGAGGUUGCAAAUUUUUUUGUGUGUGAAAAAUCAGACCUUGGCGAUGACCUUGAGCAGUA
Long non-coding RNA from Cercocebus atys (sooty mangabey), 3720 nucleotides. RefSeq lists it as uncharacterized. The transcript is spliced from 3 exons. NCBI's taxonomy places the organism in Eukaryota, Metazoa, Chordata, Mammalia, Primates, Cercopithecidae. The record is from RefSeq and is a predicted model, not a curated record.